GGGAGGAGCCGGGUUGAGUUGAUUACAGAUAGGAAACAGGUGUGCAGUGGCAGAAAACACCAGGAAACCUCGAGCACGGGACUGGAAAAGCACAAUCUGAAAGAUGCAUGAAGAGUGUGUGUGUGGCCUACAUGAACCUGGUCUCUCCUCAUCUCCGGUGCCAGAUAAUUUCAUCUCAUUUGUGCUUUGAACGCUCGACGCAGAGGUAUUUGAAGCGCUGCUCAUGGGGGUCGACCGUGCCUGGGGCAGGUGGGGUGCUCCUUCAGCUGGUUCGAUGAAUCCAUCUUUCCUAAGGACGAAGGGGUUCAGGAGCGUCAUUAUCGAACUGAAGAAAAAGGGAUGAAUGAAGAACAGGUGACAGAGUUCGAAUGUGAAUCAGGACAAGCAUGUGAUUGGUCAAGCUUGUGCAUGCAGAUGUUUAGUGAGCAGAGUUGAUUGGAGAUGAGAUUUUUGUUUUGUUGGACAUCUUUGCUGUACAUGGCAUUAACCCUUUGUUGAGAAUGUACUGUUAGCAUAGCAGGUACUGUAAGUGGGUGUUAGCAGUCAUAUUAGCUGUUACUUUUAAGUAAUUACAGAUGAGUGGAUUGAAUUACAUUUGCAUUAUUGUACUGCAUUACAUAUUCUAUUGUAUAUUUUAUUUUAUUUAUUUUUACACAUGAUAGCUGACAUAAUACCUGCCGUGGGAUGACACACAACAACAAGAAAGUAGCCAAUUAAUGUGUAAAUCAUCAAAGUUCAGUUCACCAUAUUUUUGACUGAUGAGUGUGUGGUGUUAGUUUAAUUUAAAUUUAAAUUUUUAUUUAGUUUUAUUUUUUUUAUUUUUAGUUUAAUUUCUGUGUUGAAGUGCACGGCCACCUAGAGGAAGAGUUGCUGUCGAGAGAUGUUGCAGUUUCCAAAUGCUUGUGAUAAUUUGGACCUGAAAUCAGUCUGUUAUGUCUUUUGGUUUGUUUUAUAUUAAACACGUUUAAAUUUCAUACG
Long non-coding RNA from Myripristis murdjan (pinecone soldierfish), 978 nucleotides. RefSeq lists it as uncharacterized. NCBI's taxonomy places the organism in Eukaryota, Metazoa, Chordata, Actinopteri, Holocentriformes, Holocentridae. The record is from RefSeq and is a predicted model, not a curated record. The transcript has 3 exons.